AUACACAACUCAACACACACAGGUACACACACACCUCAAUACACACAGGUAUACACAACUCAAUACACACAGGUAGACACACAGGUAUACACACUGGUACACACACACCUCAAUACACACAGGUAGACACACAGGUAUACACACCUCAAUACACACAGGUAUACACACCUCAAUACACACAGGUAUACACACACCAAUACACACAGGUAUACACACACAGGUAUACACACACAGGUAUACACACAGGUAUACACACCUCAAUACACACAGGUACAGACACCUGCACUCAAUUCAACUACCGGUAGUGAACACGUGAUCAGAAAUAGUGAAGUCAUGACAGUGUUUUCCUUGCUAUUGUAUCAUACCCCACCUCCCUGUGCAGAUAGGCAAAUGUCUUUAUUCUGUACAUAUCAUAGUCACAACUUCCUUCACAACACUGCCCUUAAAUGAUUGCAUUUCGAAAAGAGAUCUACAUGACCAGAGGUUGUUCUACAUGACCAGAGGUUGUUCUACAUGACCAGAGGUUGUUCUACAUGACCAGAGGUUGUUCUACAUGACCAGAGGUUGUUCUACAUGACCAGAGGUUAUUCUACAUGACCAGAGGUUAUUCUACAUGACCAGAGGUUGUUCUACAUGACCAGAGGUUGUUCUACAUGACCAGAGGUUGUUCUACAUGACCAGAGGUUGUUCUACAUGACCAGAGGUUGUUCUACAUGACCAGAGGUUGUUCUACAUGACCAGAGGUUGUUCUACAUGACCAGAGGUUGUUCUACAUGACCAGAGGUUGUUCUAUAUGACCAGAGGUUGUUCUAUUCUGUUCUAUAUAAAGGUGUGUGUUUGAGAUGGAACAAAUCAACCCUCUUGAACUGAAAUAGGAUGGGGCGGGUAAAAUACAACACACCGUACAGUACCUAGACUUACCAAACACACACUACACACAUACACCCCCCCCCCCGUGGGGUCCAAAUAUUAACCGUGAAACAAGGUCUCUGUGUGUGAUAAAUAAUAUGGGCAUGUGACCUGGUUCAUAUCUCCUCUGUCUAGAUCAGACCACCUCGUCUCUCGAUUGAGACGUCUCUCUCUCUCGGUGUGUGUGUCCGAGACGUCUCUCUCACUCUCUCGGUGUGUGUGUCCGAGACGUCUCUCCCUCUCUCGGUGUGUGUGUCCGAGACGUCUCUCCCUCUCUCGGUGUGUGUGUCCGAGACGUCUCUCCCUCUCUCGGUGUGUGUGUCCGAGACGUCUCUCCCUCUCUCUCGGUGUGUGUGUCCGAGACGUCACUCUCUCGGUGUGUGUGUCCGAGACGUCUCUCACUCUCUCGGUGUGUGUGUCCGAGACGUCUCUCCCUCUCUCGGUGUGUGUGUCCGAGACGUCUCUCCCUCUCUCGGUGUGUGUGUCCGAGACGUCUCUCCCUCUCUCGGUGUGUGUGUCCGAGACGUCUCUCCCUCUCUCGGUGUGUGUGUCCGAGACGUCUCUCCCUCUCUCGGUGUGUGUGUCCGAGACGUCACUCCUCUCUCUCGGUGUGUGUCCGAGACGUCACUCUCUCGGUGUGUGUGUCCGAGACGUCACUCUCUCGGUGUGUGUGUCCGAGACGUCACUCUCUCGGUGUGUGUGUCCGAGACGUCACUCUCUCGGUGUGUGUGUCCGAGACGUCACUCUCUCGGUGUGUGUGUCCGAGACGUCACUCUCUCUGUGUGUGUCCGAGAC
Long non-coding RNA from Oncorhynchus tshawytscha (Chinook salmon), 1704 nucleotides. NCBI's taxonomy places the organism in Eukaryota, Metazoa, Chordata, Actinopteri, Salmoniformes, Salmonidae. The record is from Ensembl.